ACGUAGGGGGCAAGCGUUAUCCGGAUUUACUGGGUGUAAAGGGAGCGUAGACGGAGUGGCAAGUCUGAUGUGAAAACCCGGGGCUCAACCCCGGGACUGCAUUGGAAACUGUCAAUCUAGAGUGCCGGAGAGGUAAGCGGAAUUCCUAGUGUAGCGGUGAAAUGCGUAGAUAUUAGGAGGAACACCAGUGGCGAAGGCGGCUUACUGGACGGUAACUGACGUUGAGGCUCGAAAGCGUGGGGAGCAAACAGG
Molecule: ribosomal RNA, 252 nt
Filed under: uncultured bacterium
Lineage: Bacteria
Description: partial 16S ribosomal RNA
Rfam family: Bacterial small subunit ribosomal RNA
Source: RNAcentral